This 76-nucleotide transfer RNA is filed under the name Acholeplasmatales bacterium. RNAcentral describes it as "tRNA-Glu". It matches the Rfam family "tRNA". From Rfam's summary of the family: Transfer RNA (tRNA) molecules are approximately 80 nucleotides in length. Their secondary structure includes four short double-helical elements and three loops (D, anti-codon, and T loops). Further hydrogen bonds mediate the characteristic L-shaped molecular structure. tRNAs have two regions of fundamental functional importance: the anti-codon, which is responsible for specific mRNA codon recognition, and the 3' end, to which the tRNAs corresponding amino acid is attached (by aminoacyl-tRNA synthetases). tRNAs cope with the degeneracy of the genetic code in two manners: having more than one tRNA (with a specific anti-codon) for a particular amino acid; and 'wobble' base-pairing, i.e. permitting non-standard base-pairing at the 3rd anti-codon position. Lineage: Bacteria; Bacillati; Mycoplasmatota; Mollicutes; Acholeplasmatales. The record is from RNAcentral.
GCCCAGUUGGAGAAACGGUUAACUCACAUGCCUUUCACGCAUGCAUUCACGGGUUCAAAUCCCGUACUGGGUACCA